AGUGUAGGCGGGAUCGUAAGUUAGGAGUUUAAUACAUGGGCUUAACCCAUGAGCUGCUUUUAAUACUGCGGUUCUUGAGUAUGGGAGAGGGCGAUGGAAUUCCAGGUGUAGCGGUGGAAUGCGUAGAUAUCUGGAGGAACACCUGUGGCGAAAGCGGCUCACUGGACCAUAACUGACGCUGAUGCACGAAAGCUAGGGGAGCAAACAGGAUUAGAUACCCUGGUAGUCCUAGCCCUAAACGAUGAUUGCUUGGUGUGUCGGGUACCCAAUCCCGACGUGCCGGAGCUAACGCGAUAAGCAAUCCGCCUGGGGAGUACGGUCGCAAGGCUGAA
RNAcentral lists this ribosomal RNA (332 nucleotides) under uncultured bacterium. RNAcentral's name for it is "bacterial SSU rRNA". It matches the Rfam family "Bacterial small subunit ribosomal RNA", at positions 568 to 898 of the family's 1533-position model. The record is from RNAcentral.